AUUUUGAGAUGUGACAAAAUAAACAUUGGUUUGUUGUAAUGCUUUACAAUUAUAAAUUGCAUACGUUUAUAAUGUGUUUUGCAUAUUUUGUGCUGUCGUGCCCACUGGAGCCUUGCUUGAAGCACAUUUGGCACCAAUAACAGCCUCAAGUCUUUUUGAGUAUGAUGCUGCAAGCUUGGCACACCUAUUUUUGGGCAGUUUCUUCUAUUCUUCUUUGCAGAACCUCUCAAGCUCCACCAGGUUGAAUGAGGAACGUUGUUGCACGGCCAUUUUCAGAUCUCUCCAGAGAUGUUCAACUCUGGGCUCUGGCUGGGCCAGUCAAGGGCAUUCACAGAGUUGUCCUUUGUUGUUGUGGCUGUGUGCUUUGGGUCGUUGAAGAUGAAUCGUCGGCUCAGUCUGAGGUCCACAGCACUCGAGCUGUGUUUUAUCAAGGAUGUCUCUGUACAUUGCUGCAUUCAUCUUUCCCUUGAUCCUGACUAGUCUUCCAGUUCCUUCCACUGAAAUCAUUCCCAUAGCAUGAUGCUGCCAUACCAGGACAUAUGCAUUCGUUUUUUUUUUAUAAAACUAUAAUUUCCAAUUCCUUUCAUAAUAAACGGAGAUGGAUGGUUAGUCCAUUCUUUUCACUACACCCAGCCAUUAUAGACCCUUUAGGUUCAACCUUUUUCUUUUUUCACUUCCUUCUUCCAAGUAUCUCACCCUGACACUUAAAGUUUCUCCCUCUUUAAGGAAUAUGUGCUCUUUUAGUUAUUCUUCAACAACCUUGUUUUCAUAACCUUAAUUUUAACUCUUUUUUUUUUUCUUCAUUAUAACUACUUCUCACAGUAUGCCUCUAUCAAAUGGUUAGUCUGAGAUCCCCCCCAAAAAAUAUUAUCAGUAUUGUUUCAGUCCCACUUACCUUCACUGUGCAUCCGUGCGCUUAUUAUUCUCAUCAUUUAUCUUCCACUGAAUGUAACUACGAUUGGUACUAGAGAAUUGUUGGCAGUCAAGUUAGCUUUGAGAAGUGGCGUCAUUGAUUGGAGGGUUGAGGGGGACCUUUUAUUGUCUGGACUGACCACAAGAACCUUGAAUACAUCAGAUCCGCCAUACGACUUAACUCUAGGCACUUUUUUUCAGUCAGUUCGUGUUUUUUUUUUUUUUUUUCCCUAUCGUCCAGGUUCCAAGAACAUCAAACGGUCCGCAUGGCCUUAGAUGGGGUAGUGCCUCCGCCCGGAUGUCCACCAGGUCAUUUAUUCGUGCCAGAGAAAUUGCAGUCCAACGUCAUCCGGUGGGGUCAUUGUUCCAAGGUGACUUGUCAUUCAGGAGUCAAUGGUACCAUUUUUCUCAUUAAGCAACGAUUCUGGUCACAAACUAUGGUUCGCGACACUUGUUGUUUUGUAUUGGCCUGCUCUGUCUGUGCCAGUUGUAAGUCUUCCACUCAUCUUCCUGCUAGGUUCCUUCAACCAUUGUCAGUUCCUUCCAGACCCUGGUCACAUAUUGCGCUAGAUUUCGUGACAGGUCUCCCUGCCCUAUAGGGUAACACAGUGGUUUUAAUCGUGGUGGAGAGGUUCUUCCAUCUGCCCAAAUUACCAUCAGCCAUAGAGACAGCGGUUGCAGUCAUAGACCACGUGAUUCGUAUCCAUGGCCUCCCGUAAGACAUGGUCUCUCACAGAGGUCCCCAGUUUAUUUCUAAAUUUUGGAGAGCGUUUUGUUGAUUGCUGGGGGCAAAUGUCAGUUUCUUCUGGGUUUCAUCCCCAGAGCAACGGUCAGACGGAGAGGGUCAACCAAGAUUUGAAACUAGUGUUGUGAUGUUAGCGUCACAGAAUCCAUCCUCUUACAGUCAGCAUAUCUCAUGGUUUGAGUACGCGCAUAACUCAAAACCAGUGUCUUCCACAGGCCUAUCUCCAUUUGAGUAUAGUUUAGGGUCCCAGCCAUCAAUAUUUCCUAAUCUGGAAUCCGAGAUUGUGGUCCCCUCUGCCCACGAAUUCAUCCAGGGGGACCCUUCUCCAGAAAAUUGGCUCUGAAAUUCAUCGGCCCGUUUACCAUCAUUAAGGUCCUUAGUCUGGUGACGUUCCGCCUCAAAUGUCCUCUGGCGUACCGGAGGAUUCACCCCGCCUUCCAUGUGUCUAAAAUCAUGCUAGUUUUUCGUCCAGCUAUUAGUCCACCUGUCCCGGUUCCCCCACCACUGCGAAUCGUAGAUGGGGAACCAGCCUAUUCGGAUAAUCGUAUCCUGCACUCAAGGCGGAGGGGACGUGGAUUCCAGUACUUGGUGGGCUGGGAGGGUUACGGUCCAGAGGAGAGGAGUUGGGUUCCUUCCCGGGACAUAUUGGAUCGUUCACUGAUCAAUGAUAACAGUUGCCAGGUAGGACUCUCUGAGAGUGGCAGGUGACGCUCCUAGGGGGCGGGGUAAUGUCACGGUUUGCGAGUUACUUGCUUAUUCUUGCUUGCUGAUCUGAUUGCCUAUCAGCGUCAGCUACGCCGACGAGCGCUCAGAUCAGACGCAGGUGUGUCUCAUUUAUUUAGUCCUAUAUGUAGUGAUGUGUUGCUCAUGUUCAGUGUCAGAUCGUUUGGGUUGCUGGUUCUUGUACUGAUUUCGUGUUCUGUGCAGUUUUGUUCCUGUUCCCGGUUUUUGUUCUGCCUGAGCUGUGGUCUGCCUGUGUUGAGGAUAUUCACAGCGCGUUAUUUCUCCUCCACCCCGCUUGGAUUCUACUUUGCAGUUCUCGUCUUCCCUAGGACCUGCUGGGUGCCUGUUUAUUUGCCAGCUAUUCUGUUUGUUCUCCUGACUGUUUACAAUUAAACUUUAUUUCAACUCGCUACUGGACUCGGUGUAUGCUUCCUGACACAUAGUAACAUUAUUUUUUUUUAUUAUCACAACCUAUUAUUGGAAAAAAAGUUAAGAUUUACUGUACAUUGUACUGUGUAUAUAUUGUGGAAAAAUAAACCUUUUUUAUAAAAGUAAA
Non-coding RNA from Pimephales promelas (fathead minnow), 2936 nucleotides. The record is from RefSeq and is a predicted model, not a curated record. Lineage: Eukaryota; Metazoa; Chordata; Actinopteri; Cypriniformes; Leuciscidae.